Passer domesticus (house sparrow) is the source of this 10596-nucleotide long non-coding RNA. RefSeq lists it as uncharacterized. The transcript is spliced from 3 exons. The record is from RefSeq and is a predicted model, not a curated record. NCBI's taxonomy places the organism in Eukaryota, Metazoa, Chordata, Aves, Passeriformes, Passeridae.
AAAUUGCCUGCUGCUCUUUACAAUGCACAAAUAAGACUUGAAAAAUUAUAAUUAGACCGUAGUAAAUUCUUGGUUUCAGGAAUCUGAGUUGGCAAAAUGAAUGGUUAUCAUUAUAGGGAGUAGGGUUGAGAAAAAAAUGCAGACUAAUAAGGAUAAAUUAAACAAAGCAGCAAAGACAAACUCCAUUUCUUUCUUUUCUUUGCAUGCCCAGUUGGAAAUAAAUUAUUGUUUUGCCUCCUGGAGGGAUUAAAAUAAGAAGGAUUUCAUAAAAUCUCUCACUCACUGGUGCUCUUUUCACCUCAAAAUCUUUCUUUCUAUGCAUAAAAUUAUGUGUUGCAAACACAAAAGCUGGCUUAGAAAAUCAUUAACUUCUCUACUGUUUCCCAUCAAUGUAUAGAUCUCAAUAUCAAGAAACACUGUAUCUUGCAGUCCUACUUCACUCAGGACCAGAAAACCUGAUUCUAGCUACUGCUCACCCUGCACUCCCAAUCCCUAACAAGCUGCCAUCUCUUUCAAAGGCUUCCACAGACAUUAAAGGAGAAGAAUGCCUUCUUUUUUGUACUCAUUUGCUUUUGGGUUGUGUUGCAUUCCAUAAUAUACAUAUUUUUGACAUUAUUAAAUCUAUUUUUGUGACAAAUAUAAUAUGAACAGAAUUUUUUUUUUCUUACACUGGGGACUAUUUCAAAAUCACAUUGAAGAGAAAAUACUCCUUUGGGGAAAAAAGCCACUGAGAUCAUGCUUGAAGAUUAUUUACUAGGAUAUUCCAAUGGUGAGGCUGCAGUUAGGUAGUAAAAGAAUAGAACAAUGAAAUCAAUAGCAUUUUAUGACAGCUAUAUACAGACAAGUUCCCAGUCAGACCACUAAUGGGGCAGACUUUGCACCUUGGAAUUAAUGCAUUCAUGUUUUGCUGUCUGUAUUCUGCCUGUGUUUUAGCAAUGGAUGCUUUGCUGUGUUCUCACAGAAACUUGUAGAUUCUCUUGCUUUACAAUAUAUGUUGAACCUGUCCUACCUUGUUUCAUCAAUGAUUAUAAUAUACCACACAUAAUAUAUAAUUCAAACUCAAGACGCCCUGUCUAUUUUUAUGUACACACUAUGCUUUUUCAUCCCCUUCCCAGAGAUGUUGAGGCUGUUGACCUUAGCAAAGAUCUGUUUGAGAACAACUCCUAACCUUUUCCCUUGAUUGGGCCAUACAGAGCCUUAAUGUGAGAAAUGGAUAGCUCUCCCUUCCUGGUAAAUGACAAAACUAGACAAACUUUAGCUUCUCCCAAUACCCUGGUUUAAGAUGAGCAAAGCUUAGUCCUUCUGCAUGACAAGAAUGCUUUGUUCUCCCUUCCGAAAUGUCUUACGUGGAGAUCCAGAAAGCAGAGCACUGCACUUGGGAAAGGAGCCAGCCUAGAGAAGUUGAUGGCAGAGGAGGCAGCUAACACCUAACUGGCCUCACCAGUAAUUCCAUCCAGGCUAACUCUUUCAUCUGAUCCAGGUGACAUUUCUCAUAAUUUAUUUGCAUAGAAAUGCAGAUUCAGGGUUGAGCAACUACUCCCAACCUGAGGUCAACAAGAAAAAAAUAUCUGGAAAGCAAAAGCUUCUCACUUGCCAUUUCUGAAAUUGAACUUUUUAUUUCAUUUCUAAACAAUAUCCUAUGAAAAAAAUAUACUUUAGCUAGAAAAUGAGACAAUUGUUCCUACAGCUCUGGCAGCACCCUUUAAUGGCAAGUGACAACAAUCUCAUCUUGUCCGUGCCAAAGAGUGCAAAUUGGUGUUUAGAUACAGGCAUUUGAAACAACUACAGGCACACAGAUGCCUACAUUAACUGGGGCUUCCAGAGACAGACAAACCAAUAUCAGCUAUAAUGGAGCCAUGUCCUAGGGCACAGAUAUUAUUUUAUCCUAAUUGAAUCAAAAAGUAUCUUAGCACUUAAACCCUUCAGUAAAGAGGGAUAUAAAGGAAUUUUGAGGUAAGAUAAAAAUUAUUUCUUAAUAAGUGGAUUUUAUUGAUGAGAAGGAUUUCAUUUAAGUAUCAUGUGGCAAAUCCAAGCACUUAUGCUUUAGCACAUGCUCCACAUAAUUCCAGACAGCUUCUGCACCUUCCAUUUACUUAACUAUACUAUGAUCCUCCCUACAAAGUAGCUCUCCCAGCUUUUCCACUUAGGUAUCUUUGUGUAGCUCCUCCUAUCCCCAGCACAGUAGCUGGCAGUUAAUUCAGGGAACAAUCCUCUGGGUGACAGCUGAUAGGAAAAAGUUUUGCUAAACUAUAUUGCACAGUUUAAACUUCAUGGUUAUCAAAGCCUAAUAACAGCAUUUAGUGGAGCUCAAUGUCUAGGUGCACUUUCAGUAUUUCGUAUGUUACAGUUGAGCCAAAAGUCUCACAGUGCAUCUCAGCAAGGUCUCAAAUAGCUUGCAAUUCUACUGGCAUACUUGCAUUCAGUUCUCUGAUCUCAGUUAUUUAACAGAAAAUGGAAUCUCUUAGGGAAAGAAUAAACAUGCAAAAUGAUUAUUUCCUUUCUCACAACACAGCCAAAAUUCACUGUGAAAAAUUUGCAGUGAAAACCAGAAAUGCCUUGUCUGCCCAAGCCAAAGAGCCUUGACAUUUAUGAUCAAAGGUACGCAGAUGAAUUCAAGGACCUUCCAUAGUCCAAUAUCAAAUCAAGAACAAUGAUGAAUGUGUUUUGCUCAAAAUCAGCCAAAAUACUUAUUUUCUUUCUAUACUGAGCAUUUUUCCACAUUGAACUAAACAAACAUUUGGAACUAUUUGCUGCUUCUUUAGGAAAUUGCUUUCAAAAGUGCAAUCUAAAUUCUGAACAAUCCACACUGCCCUAAAAUAUUAAGGGUUUAAAUAUUGGUUAUGGUCCAUAUUAACAUUCUUAGACUCCUGCUGCUACAUCUAACUCCUUUGAACACAUUAUCAGAAAUGUCAACCUACAAUCUACCAUAUCAAAAUCUUCAGCUUUUUCUAAAAUAGUCCAGACUUAAAGAGAAAAUUCCUAUUGCUAAAAUUCCUAAGUCAAGUUACUCAUCUUCAUCAUCUCCCUCACUGCACGACACAGAAAGACAGCUUAUUUUAAAAGUUCAAAAUACCUUAUUUCCUGUUAUCAGGCCUAAGAAACAUCACACAGUUUUUGUCACCUUCUUUCCAGUGAAAAAAGAAGGUAUUAAAUUAAACCAAGAUUUCUCUAUAUCUACAUGGUACACUACAAGUGCAGAGCACAGCACUCAAACAAUUUGUUUAUUUAAUAGUGUUCAGAAUUUGUCAUUUCAUACUGGCAUAAAUUUAAUACAUAGGUACCAUACUGUGUACUGUGUGGAAGAUUUUCUACCUGUCAUUAAAGUGAGAAAGAAAGAUCUUCUGAAGUCACACCUUCUGUCUCAUAAAACAUUACAAGUGUUUGAGCAUUCAUCUCUAAUCCCAAAAUAACAAAAUCAGUUUGUCUUAUAUAAAAAGAAAAAAAAAAAGUUUUAAAUCAUCAUUCUUCACUUCAGGGAAAUAAGCUUUCUUCAGUUACUAUCAACAGCUCUGGUCUGUGGUUACCAACUUCAGAACAAAAUGUCAUUUUGCAAAUAAUUAUCACCACUUUAGGUAAUGCCUUUGUACUAAUACACAUCAGGCAAGAGAAAAUAAUACAAAAUGAGACCUUCAACCUUAUACAGGGUUAAGAUGUGAUUUCUAAAUACUUUUGUAUUUUAGCAAUAAAAUUUAUUUUUCUUGUGGACAUUUAAAUUUUUUUCACUGUUGAGAAAUGGAUCUUUUGUUACUUUUCCACAGUUUUGCUGCUGCAGUUGCUCUUCAUUCUCAUUCUUAAAAUUCUACUGCAAUUAUUUUUCAAAUUAUUAUCCUUCUAACCAUGUCCCUCGAUUUGUUCUGUUUUUAGGGUAACUAACAGAGCAAAUAAUUUAUUAAGGAUAAAAAUAAUUUUGCAAAGAUUUGCAGAAGCUGACAGACUAAGAAUUCUGUCAAGUAGAACCCAAGCAGAGAGUGGAGGAUUAGACCCCUCUAAUCCACUGGUUUUUUUUUAAAGCAGGGGUGUUUAAUACUCAACUAAAACCUUUGGAGAGUUUUAUUUUUAGUGGAUUUCCAUAUUAAGGUUUGCUCUAAGAAUUACACUUUAGGAAACAAACCACAGAAAUGUAUUUCUUGUUUGUAAGGUAUCAUCAUUAAAAGUCUUCCAUUCCCCAAAUAAAUAUUUUUUUACUUUAUGCCAUAUUUUAAUUUUUCUUAUAGUUUUCAUUGUAAACAUUAUACUUCACUGAGCUUUAAAAUUAAAAAAUAAUUAGAAAGGAAUCUAUGCAAAACAAUAAUUUGUGGAUGACAUUAUGUUUGAUAAGAGAUGAAGAAAAUGACUUUUUUACAAAUUAUUUCCAUGUCAACUUUGUACAUGAAACUUUCAGUUUGGAGAAAACCAGGCCAGUGGGGCUGUGUCUAUGUUGCCUUUUAAUGAAAUCAUUUAGGUUAUGAAAUAGAGAGAGCAACUCUCCAAACAUGGCAAUAUUUUGGCUGUUUGAACUUUCUAGUGGCAUAUUAUCUUAGUUACACUGUUAUGUGUGUCUGCCCUGAGAAAAAUUGUCAUUCCUUGGUCCAAAUGUCAUGCACUGACCCUUUUCUUGCUGCUGAGAGGUGGAUGGCCCUACAGCAGUCCUUGGUAUUCCUCUACUUCCCACUUAGUGCUCCUGUGGACCCAAAGCAUGAUUUCCUUCACAUUUUGAUUUUAAAAAUGUAUUUUUUUUCAUUUCAAAUUAUCUGUCCUAAUGUAGGAGUUGAUGCCACUGAGCUGCUGAAAAAAAAAACCAUGUUAUCUUUUUGAAACUAGUGUGGCCUGCAGGAUAAAUCCAUCAAAUGGCUACAACCUCUCCCUACACUGGGGAGCCAGACGAGUUCUGGAUCAGCUCAAAUGCCUGGGAUUUACCUGGCAUGCAGGACAGUCACAAGUUCUUUGCUGCAUUAGAUCCUCAAUCUUUUGUGAUGAGCUUCACAAAGAAAUCAGUUGGUAAUCAAAAUAAUAAUUUUUAAGCAGGGAAUUUUCUGUCCAGAGGCUACUAAUCUGACAAAACCAAGUCAGUAUUGGCGAAGUAUACUUUAUAUGCAAUUUCCAAAAUUUGCAGCAGUAAAUUUUUCUAAAAAAAAACCAACUAUUAGUUUCACUUUUUUUUUUUUUUUUUUGUAAAAUGGCAGAAUUUUUGACAAAAUUAUCGAAUUGAGGAAGCACUCCCAAUGCAUACCAGCAUUUCUUUCUUAGAUUUAUAUACAAAGCAGUGGUUUAGGUAAUUUCUGUAAGAAACUGGUAAAAGGUAGAAUAUAGAAGAAUAUUCUGUUCCCUUGGACUGUGUAUUCACACAACACUUCUGCAUCUUGCCAAGUUUGUGAGCUGCAAGAGCACAGCGUGUAGUGGCGAUGCUCUAACCCUUUUAGUGCCUUGCAUGCUACACACUGAGCUGAAUUUUACUUCCAAACAAAAUUUUGGCUGCAUUCCUUACUGAGCACACAUUGUUCUCGCUUUGACAGACCAUCCCAUUCUCUCGCUCAAAACAAUUUGAUGCAUUUUAAUUUUUUUUUUAAAACUUGUUCCUAGAUCGGUAUAAUUUAUAUAAUCAGCCACCAACUCCAACAAUGAAAAAGACAGUUCUUAUUUUCUUAAUUUAGGUCUUUAUGCUAAAAUCAUAUUUUCUGUACAUUUAAAAAAAAUACAUAAUUUGCAAUUAUGAAGAUAAUUUUAAAUACCUUUUAGAGCAAAAUUAAAUGUCUGUUAUAUAGUUUUUCUUUUUCUAACUUAACAUUUAAUUAAAUGCUAAGUUUGACACUGCAUAGUUUGGUGAGAAAUUCAGCACUGGAUUUCAGUGAAUAAAAAGAAUACUUAAUCAUAAGCAAUGCAGCAGUAUUCUAUGAUUCUAUAUUAUUAUAUAUUGUGUAAAUAUAACUGGCUUUGUAGUGCCUUUUAAACAGAUAUUUCCUCUGAUCCUCCCUGCCUUCAAACCUUCAGACUGACCACAAGUAAGUACAUGGAAUUUGAGUGGUAGUAUAAGUACUAAAUUGCUGAAAAUACUGCACCACCAAACCUAGAUUGUUAUAUAUUUAUAUGUAAGAGCAGAACUGAGAUUGCUAUUUUAAAGGAGUUCCUUCAAAUUUAUUUAAUUGGUUAAAAAAAAUAAAAAUUGGUCUUUACUGGAGCCUAAUGGGAUAAUAUGGCCUUAUAGUGAGGAGUACAUGUAGAAAACAAGGGGGAUUUUAGGCCUAACUGCAUUUUCUGUCAGACAAUAUCUUAACCUCAAAGGAUCAUCUGGUCAGCCUCUUCUAUGAUGUAGAGUUAACGAAAAAAAAAAGAGUGGUUACAUCUUUUGCAGCCACAAGAAGAAGACAAAGGUGGAUAGGGAAGCAGUGGAUAUACAAUAUAAUAACUUACAGCUGUUGUAUCAUCUGUCUGCUGGUAGGUAUGGUGAAAUAAAUAAAUGAUCAAAAAAAAUCUAAUUUAAAAAAACCCAACAAUGUCAGGAUGAGUUUUUGUAAAUAAGAACUUGCAAGACAAGUGAUAUGAAAGCAACAAGAUUAUUAAAAUGCAGUAUCUUAUUUAUUAUACAUUAGAUAGAUCAAAGCUCCUCAGAGAUAACAAGGCACUGAUUGGGAGUUGCCACCUGUUUGGUCUCGCUGGCUAUGGAAAUCUGUGAGGUGAAGCUGUGUUAAAAGUUGUGAGCACAUGGUACACUUAUGAAUGGCUUGGAUUGAUAAAAAACCCCAAAUUAUUCUUAUUUUGCUGAAAAGAUUUACUCAUUAUUCACUAGCACAUAUGUUAUUUUCUUAGUUAAGACAAAAAGAAUAUGCUGUGUAGUUCAGGAAGAUUUCAGAAACAAACAAACAAACAAACAAAAUUCCAGGCAAAUGCUUUUACUUGAUACACAUUAAUAUGGUGAGUAUUAAAAGACCUGAGGAGUAUAAAAUUAGAAUAUAUUUGAGCUGUUGUUUUGGAGAUUGCUGAGCCUUGCAGCAGGCUGAGCUCAGAGAAGUUUGUGGCAAGCAAAUUGUCAAAUAAUGAACAACGAGGCAGGAGGCAGUUUUCUAGAUGUUUUUUGGGUUGGUUGCCUUUUUUGUCUAACCUCUCCACAAAGAACAGAACAGCUGUGACUUAAGGAAGUGUUUGGGUAUAGAUGUCAAACAGUUAUUGGCAGGAUCUACUAAAGGGCAAGUUGAGGAAAGCUGAAAAUCUGCAAGAUGCAACAAUGGAAGGUAAGGCAAGACAGCAACAACCUUUGUCAGUGUCCUUGAAGUGUGCCACAGAACUGGCUGAGGAGAUGAGCAGAACUCCAGACUGGGGAUGUCAGAGCACCACUGGGCUCCCUUUAAAUGGCUGUUUGUAGGAGAUAAACUUAAUGCAUAACAGCAAGAAAAGGGGAGUCAGUAAGAGUAAGAAAGGUCUCUUUAAGUGAGUGGAAACUCAAUUUGAAUGGAUAAAAUUGGGGAAGGAGUUUCUAAGUACUUUAAAAGUCAUGUGUUCCAAAGUAAGAUUUGUUUGGGAGGUCUCUGGGUGUUCUAAACACACCCACCGACCAAAACCAAGUUGGCACUGACACGCGAGAAAUGAUUCCCCUUGGCUGACUCAAUUCAAAGCAGAGAAGACUACUGUGAGACCACAUGAUGUGGGCAUUCCCUCACGGUCGAGUUUGAUAAAGGAUUCACACUGACAGACUCUUUUCCACUCCUUAUUUCUAGAAUGGUGAACAAAUGCCCCAGAGCGAAGCAGCGCUGAGGGUUUUGCGCUCAAUUUUCUCGAGAGAACACCGUACAGAUACAGAUUUGCGUUCUGCUAGCGGCAAAUGUUGAUGCUACAAUAUUUUGGGCACUGAUGUGAAAAAACAUGAUACAGGAGAGGGAAUGCUGACAGCCACAUUCUGAUCCUUUUAGAGUACUAAAAACAAGAAGCAACUUUGCUGAAAUCAAUGAACAUUUCUCUCGAUCCAUGCAAGCUGCUUUAAAGGAAGAACUUAAUUUCGAUUUCCAAAUUUCUGGCAGCAAGUCUGAUGACACCCUAAACUGCUACCACCAUAACCUGUGAGUCCUCUGGUUCUUCUGCUCAUUUCAAGAUUGUUAAGAGUACAAUGAAAUAUUUAUUCCUUCUUCAGACUAGAAACAGGAGAAGAUAUAAUAGCAUAUGAAAACCAAAUGCAGAAACAUCUUUAAUGAACAGCUUCAGUAGCUUUUUCAAGGAUAUGGCUAAACAGAAAGUAUCUACAUAUAUUUGGGGAAACACAGCAUUUAACUGUUUUGGAUAAAUAAGAAACUGGCAGUUUCCUCUCAUUUGCCACACCACUGCUCAAGGGUCUGUCUGAGAAUUAAGUCUGGAAUGGAAAACAGAAGUCUGUCACAGAUCCUUCCUCUCUGCCUGUCACUUUUGCAAUAAACAAGGCUAUCAACCCCUUGCAAUUUAGGUUUGUGCAGAGCUAACUGGGUGACCACUGAACAGCCCUGUCAUCAAAGACUUUCUUUAGUGAGCACCCACUCUUCAUAUAGGGCUGUUCAGAGAAGGACUUGAUGUUGAAAAUGCCAUUGAUUGUAAUUUUUGCAGAUAAUCCCUGUAUGCUCUGUGCUGCUGCUGAAUGCAGCUGUACCUGGUGGGAUACACAGCCAUGAGCAGCUGGCUGCUCUUGAGAGCCAGUGGGCUCAGGGCUAAUCCUCACUUCUGCAGGACCUUGCCCUGUGAUAUAUUAUGUCAGAACAAGAAGGGACAAGGCUCUCUUCUACUCAAUAGGAAAAACCUUAGCAGCUAGCUGGAAUUCAGAGGGAUCCAGCAGCAAACAGUAAUUUACAAAUAUGGAACUGAUGUGUGUUAACAAACUGACAGUUGUAAAUUAAAGUUUGGUAGUUUCCCAAUACACAAAAGUUUAGAGUUUAUGGAAUUAAUUGAAAUAGAGGAAAUAAUCUGAGAGAACUGCCUCACAGAAAAUUUUUACUAAACACCAUUAUCAAGACAAUUAGAUUUUUACAGUUAAUUCUCCAGAUAAAAAGUGGUAUUUCUGACAAAGUCAGUGCCUGCCAACACUGAUGGACAAAGAAUUCAAGGGGUUUAAAUUAAUGGAGCCUGCUAGCAUGGAGACUUCUGUGGGAUCAAGAUCACCUCAACCUUCUUCAAGACAGAUUGGACACCUGGAUAAGAAAGGAAUAUUUUUUUUUUUUUACUUAAAACUCUCUGUUAAUCCAUGUGAAAGAGUAGAAUGUAAAAAGUAUCUCCUUUUGUGCAGAGGUACAGUGAGACAUCCAGUAACCAAGCAAUAAAGCUCCAAGCUGUAAUCUGGAAUUUGGCAAUGGAAAGACUAACAGUGCCUCCAACAACUUCUAAGUUCUUCUCACAUAUUUCAUAUUCUUUGCAAUAAAAUUUUUUGAGCUGUUGCAUUUUAUUUUAUGACUAUUGUUAAUACAGUGAACACAAUAUCUUUUAAUGAGGCAGUAAUGGCUGAGGCUGAAUUAGAUCACUGCUAAUCAGAGUGACUGAGUACCAAGUCAAAAUCUCUCAAGAGAAUCAGAAAAAAAUAUAGUUGUUUGGUGUUGGAAAAUGAGAUAAAUUAUCUUAAGGACAGGCUACACUAAAUGUGUAAGUAGGCAUAAAGUGCAUGGGAUAGCCAACAGAGGCAGCAAAACAUUGUGUAAAAUAAUAGAAACAUCAACAGAGAAGCACUGGUGUUUGAGAGAAAACAUCUAUUUUGAGCUUGGGAUUUAAUAACCACCCAAUGGCAAGUGCUAUAAACAGGAAAGAAAACUGUAAUUUACAAGUUUAGAAGUCAUCAGCAUAACUAAAUUAAACAAAAUUCUGAAAGGAGAGGUGAGAAAGUACAAUAAAGAGGGUGGUGGGCUGGAGGCAGAAUUUCCAGUGGGAAGACUGGCUCUGCAAAGGGAACAUAAGAAAGAAGAUACGGAAGAAGCAAACAGUAAAUUAUUACAAGGGAAAGCCUGACAGCAAGCCAAGAGAAGGCAUGAAAGGACAGCAGCAAGAUGGUUUGUUGAAAGUGGUGGAAUGACCUAGAAGAAAGUGAACACUGAAAAGAUUCUUGGAACUGGACGGCAGGAAAUUGUUAGUGACCUUAUUAAGAGCUGUUUUGAGGAGAAAAUGGAACAGAAGCUAGAAAUGACUGGGCAGGAAAAAAACCAUGGACUGGAAAAAGACACAAAUUCCAAGAAGGAGGGAAAUGUUCUGCAUAUUGAACAGAGAAAAGAUUUUGGGUUUUUUUAAUCAAGGGCAGUCCUGAACAGAAACUUCCAUGUAAGGAAAAAAGGACCAGAUAAGCUUCAAAGAAAAUGCAUCACUAGAAAUCUAAAGUCCUAAACAAGUCAUUUUGACAUCCUCCAAAUGUCUAAGGGACUGAAGAAGUUAAGCAAAUAGACUUUUCUCUAAUAUCCAGCUACUUGAUGUCCCAGGUGUCAUUCUUCUAAUUUCUUGUUGUGAAAUAUACCAUCUGUAACUCGCUAUUACUUCAAGGAAACUUGUUGCAAACAAGACUUUUCUCCUUCAAACAAAUAGUGCUUUUCAAUUAUAUUUCCCUCACUGUAACAAGCCUUUUUCUCUGAAUUCCUACUGCUGCACAGUACUAUGGCAGCAGCUUGAUUAAUAUGCUUUCGUUUGUUGGGG